RNA transcript from Balaenoptera musculus (blue whale), 3152 nucleotides. It is a transcript of the gene named NIPA like domain containing 2, with no coding region annotated. The record is from RefSeq and is a predicted model, not a curated record. NCBI's taxonomy places the organism in Eukaryota, Metazoa, Chordata, Mammalia, Artiodactyla, Balaenopteridae. The transcript has 12 exons.
AAGAAAAUAUUAAAAAUAGACACUUUUUCCUUCAGAUACUUAAUUGAAAUAAAUGAGCCACAAAAUUGGAAAUAGCUACCGUAUUAACUGUUCACUGAACAUUUUGGGUGCUCAAGCAAGAAACUACACAACCUCGGAGAUGUCUUAUUUUUUCUCUAUCUGAAAUGAUUUUUUUCUCAUUUUCUUCUCUCAUUCGCACAUUUCCCUAAGACCAUUUCUCCCUGUUCCCCGCUAGGCAGUAAUUCUCUCUUUUUGAAGGUCUCUGUUUCAUGAAGUCAUGGCAGUCAUAGCACAUUAUUUAAGAAGAAGCUCAGCAUCGUGCAAACAAAAGAACUGCAAGUUCCAGGGCUUCGAGCAACAAUACAGAAUCACAGAGUUCUCAAGGUGAGAGGUACCUAACAUCACCUGUAGUAACGCAGUAGAAUUUGAAUACAGAUAACACCAGAACAUCUGGUUAGAGUUCCUUAGUUCCUUAAGACCAUUAACAAUUAUCUCCCAACCUAAAUUCCUAUAUGCAGUGGCUGGCAACUUUUCAGCAUGUCCUUCUGGUUCCAUCUGAAGGAAACCCCAUCCAGUCCCCUAAACAGGUCAGGGUCCCCCAGCUACCACUGGAGAGUCCUUCUUUCAUUCUAGGAAUAUUUGCUAAGGCUCUAUCAAGUGCUGGCACUGAGAUUUAAUCUCUCCUAUCUUUAUUCUCAUGUCGCUUACAGUAUUUUCCGGGAACUCGUGACUUUUCCAUAUGCAAACCAUUUUAAAAAAUACAAGUGAGAAACACUGCAUCUGAGAUAGAGAGCUGGAUUGCCAGGUACAGGCGGAGUGAAGGUGGCUGCUUUGGGUUCGCCAAUGUCUCCUUUCACUCCUAUUCACUUCGAUAAGUGUUUACUCCGCGCCGCUGGGGCUGGAACGGCUUUGGCCCCGACAGGUGCGGACCCGGCGCGCAGAGGGGCGCGGCUCUUCUCCCCCUUUGGGCCCGUGAGGCCUCUGCGCGCCCGUGCCCGGCGGCGGGACGAUGCGGAGCGAGCCGAGCCGCCCCGGGAGGCCGCAGAGCGCGGGGCUCCCCCGGCAACCUGGCGCCGCGCGGGGGCGGGAGUCAGGUGGCCACGGCGCGCCCGCCUCGCCCGGGCACCGAGCAGGAAGUGGCUGCGGUGCGCCCCGGGCGCGGCCUCCGCAGGGCGCGCCUCCUUUGUGGCGCCGUGCUGUGCGGCCGGGCCGGGAGGAGGCGGGAGCCCGAGUCCCAGCGCGGGGAGCGAGAGCUAAUGGCGGCGCCUGCGCCCGGGGGCCCCGGAGCCGCCGCCUCGGCCGCCCUGGACGAGCUGUCCCGGAACCUCACGUACGGGGCGCUGGGCGCCGGCAAUGGCUCCCUGUCGGGCGCUUGGUACCGCCGGAACCAGGCUCACCCUCCAGCCUACAUUCUCCCUUUCACUUCCAGGAAGGAAAGCUUGACUUUCUCCAACACUGAAAAUACAUCGGCUUUAGUCUGCCUGAACGAGAUUCACCUUUUUGGAGUUUUGCUGGCCAUUUUAGGAAACUUGGUAAUCAGCAUUUCCCUAAAUAUUCAGAAAUAUUCGCAUCUUCAGUUGGCGCACCAAGAACACCCAAGGCCGUACUUCAAGAGCGUGCUGUGGUGGGGCAGCAUCGUACUGAUGGCUGUGGGAGAGACAGGAAACUUUGCAGCCUAUGGAUUUGCCCCCAUUACUCUCAUUGCUCCAUUAGGCUGUAUGUCUGUUACAGGUAGUGCCAUUAUUUCUGUUAUGUUUCUGAAAGAAAAUUUGAGAGCCUCAGAUUUACUAGGUAUGACACUGGCAUUUGCAGGAACAUAUUUAUUGGUGAACUUUGCUCCAAAUAUAACUCAGGAUAUCUCCGCAAGAACAGUACAGUAUUACUUUGUUGGCUGGCAGUUCAUGACCUACGGGAUUUUAGAGAUACUAAUUUUCUGCAUUCUCCUAUAUUUCCAUAAAAGAAAAGGAAUAAAACACAUUGCGAUUCUGCUAACCCUGGUGGCACUUCUAGCCUCAUUGACUGUCAUUUCAGUAAAAGCCGUCUCAGGAAUGAUCACUUUUUCUGUGACGGAUAAAAUGCAACUAACUUAUCCCAUCUUCUAUAUCAUGUUUAUCAUCAUGAUAGCAUCUUGUGUUUUCCAAGUCAAGCUCCUGAAUCAAGCCACAAAACUCUACAGUACAGCGACGGUGGUGCCCGUUAACCAUACUUUCUUUACAAUCAGUGCCAUUAUUGCAGAAAUUCCUCUUAAAGCGACAACAACAAAAAAAAUCCUAAAAUACUGGGAAAAAAAUAUGUAGAGAAGUUUAUUGACACUUUACAAAAGCAAAACAUUUGAAACAAUUUAAAAUGUCCUUCAAGAAAUGAAUAUUAUGGGGCACCAGCUCAGAAUAACAAGAAAACAUUAAAAUGAUCACAAGGAAAUGUGUAAUAACAUGGAAAAAUGCUUCAGAAGUGUUGAUUCAUUCAACAAAUAUUCAUCAGAAUGGGACAUGGCUUAUUCCUGUAGGAAGUUUAUCCUCUAGGUGAGGAGAUAGACUUGAGACUGAGAAAGCCCCUGUCUUGUUCCCUGUCGUAUCUGCAGCACCUAAGCAGUGGCUGGCACUUAGGACUCUCAAUAAAUACUUGUCAACAGGGUAGCAAGGCUAACACCACACACACACAAAUUUGAUUCCAAGUAAUAUAUAAUUUAAAGAUAACUUAUUUAGUAAAAACUCUACAAAGGCUUUGGGACCAUAGGCCAAGAGGAAAUCAUUGAGACUAACAAGGAGAGAAGAAAAGCUCAUCGGAGUAAAGGACACAUCCACAUUUCCCUUCACCCAGAAGGAAAGACCAGAUGAAGGAGAUGGGAGAGGGGGUUGGCGGUGAGAAAUGGAGCUGGGGUAGCAGAUCAGCAUCCUCCAGUGCCUGAAUGAGCAUGUGCCAGACCCACAAACCGCAGGGCGUUGCCAAGACUGACAGCAUGGGGAGCAGCUGGCCUGAAGUGCGAGCGCCGUGUCAAAGGCCCAGAGUCCACCCAGAUGCGCAGGUACCAUAUUUUAUCAGGAAUUCCUUGGUGCAGCUUUUCUCACUAUAUUUAUAUAUCUUUUUGGGUGUUUUCUGUCAUUCCUUGGUGUGGUUUUGGUCACAAGAAAUCGAGAAAAGGAACAUCUGCC